GAAAGCUAGAGAGUUCCAGAAAGACAUCUACUUCUGCUUCAUUGACUAUGCAAAAGCCUUUGACUGUGGCAAAUUCUUAAAGAAAUGGGAGUGCCUGAUCACCUCAUCUGUCUCCUGAGAAAUCUCUAUGUGGGACAAGAAGCUACAGUUAGAACUGGAUAUGGAACAACUGAUUGGUUCAAAAUUGGAAAAGGAGUACGGCAAGGCUGUAUAUUGUCUCCCUGCUUAUUUAACUUACCGUAUAUGCAGAAUUCAUCAUGCGAAAGGCUGGGCUGGAUGAAUCCCAAGCCGGAAUUAAGAUCGCCGGAAGAAAUAUCAACAACCUCAGAUACGCAGAUGACACAACCUUGAUGGCAGAAAGUGAGGAGGAAUUAAAGAACCUUUUAAUGAGGGUGAAAGAGGAGAGCGCAAAAUAUGGUCUGAAGCUCAACAUCAAAAAACGAAGAUCAUGGCCACUGGGCCCAUCACCUCCUGGCAAAUAGAAGGGGAAGAAAUGGAGGCAGUGAGAGAUUUUACUUUCUUGGGCUCCAUGAUCACUGCAGAUGGUGACAGCAGUCAUGAAAUUAAAAGACGCCUGCUCCUUGGGAGAAAGGCAAUGGUAAACCUAGACAGCAUCUUAAAAAGCAGAGACAUCACCUUGCCAACAAAGGUCCGUAUAGUUAAAGCCAUGGUUUUCCCAGUAGUGAUGUAUGGAAGUGAGAGCUGGACCAUAAAGAAGGCUGAUCGCCGAAGAAUUGAUGCUUUUGAAUUAUGGUGCUGGAGGAGACUCUUGAGAGUCCCAUGGACUGCAAGAAGAUCAAACCUAUCCAUUCUUAAGGAAAUUAGCCCUGAGUGCUCACUGGAAGGACAGAGGCUCCAAUACUUUGGCCACCUCAUGAGAAGAGAAGACUCCCUGGAAAAGACCCUGAUGUUGGGGAAGAUGGAGGGCACAAGGAGAAGGGGACGACAGAGGACGAGAUGGUUGGACUGUGUCCUCGAAGCUACAAACAUGAGUCUGACCAAACUGCGGGAGGCAGUGGAAGACAGAAGUGCCUGGCGUGCUCUGGUCCAUGGGGUCACGAAGAGUCGGACACGACUAAACGACUAAACAACAACAACAACAAACAUGCUGAGGAAAAGCCGGGGUGUCCAUGCCACCACACCCACCCACCAAGGACCCCACCCCCUCAAAAAAAAUCAGCCUGAAGUAACUGUGCUAUUAUGUCUGUCAUAUUUUUUAGUUUUGGUAAAAUAGAUUGUAAAUUGCCUUGAAUGCACUGGCAGAAAGGCAGUGUAUAAAUAAGAAAACUGUAUUUUAAUUUAUUUUAAUUUUAAAAGCCAAUAAAAUAGCCAAUAAAAUAGGUUAAGGGGUCAACCAAAUGUAUCCUGGGAGAAUUUACUAUAUAAACAUGCAGGGUUAAAUUAAACUAAGACAUACUCAGAGCAGAUCCAUUGAAGUCAUGUCCGUUGAUUUCAAGGGUCUGCUCUGAGUAUGACUUAGAUAUUGGGUGGUGAGCCCGUCACCCUCCAGAUGUCAUCAGACCCCAACACCCAUCAGCCCUAGCUAGCAUGGCCAAUGGUCAAGGAUGAUGGGAAUUGUAGUCCAGCAACAUCUGGAGGGCCACAGGUCCCCCCCUGAUUUAGAUGGAUUUAAUCCAUAAUCUCUAUUUCAUAUAUUUGUUGUCUUCCCUUAUCAGCUGAUAAAUUCUUAGUAUUUUUCUGAUUUUGACAAUGUGUAUUGUAACAGCAAGGCCUGUUUAUUACAAUUCCUUGAGUAUAGUAUUCUCAAUAUUGGGUCUAACUGCAAGAAUAACUCUGACAUAUAACCAUUUUGCAACAAAAUGCUAUGCGCAAUAGAAUCUCCAUUAUACAGAAUAGAAUAAUUAAGUAUUCCUUCUCUGACUGUCCUCUAUAGGAUAUUGUAUGUGUUUCAGUCACUUGGUAUAAAUUAAUUAAAGUAAUCUAGACAUGACCCAGAAAUGCUGCUUACAAAUAUUUUUAAAAUAAAAAUAAUAGUUAUUCCGUGUUCUUCAGUACAUUGUUGAUUCUGGAACUCAAAUUCCAACUUUAUAAACAUGCGAGUGACAGAUAAUGACUUACAAAAUACAUCAUUCAGUAAUUAAUGAAAUAUAUGAGCAAAUUCUUUUUUAGCUUUGCUUUUUUAACUUUGCUACUGAUUUCAGAAGGGACCCACAUCAUCUGGCAGAAUAUUGAAUCUUCGUGGUAUGUUGUUCAGUCUUUCUCUAGCUGCCGUUUAUCGGGGGAAAUGGUGUUGCCGGGGGGGGGGUGGUAAGAGCAGUGAUCUUCAGAAAAAUGCCUCACAAUGCCAAAAGUCUGAACUACAAUUAUUCUUUUUCUAAAGUUCAGUGCAUUAUGUCCAGCCCAGUCGUUCCUGGCUCACAUUUGCAUGAACUCUAGCAUACACAAUGGAAGCAGCAUACGUUGCGCAUUCCGGGGAGAUGGGGAAUGGAGCUAAAUCAUUAGGACUCUUUGGAGUUGCCAGUUAUUCAGUUGGUUCCAGGUUUCUUGCUAUAGCAGCUAACAGGCUCACUAUCCUUUCUCAUUGCUUCUUAUGUUUCUUGAGAAACAGGGUCUUGACAACAGACUAUAUAUUCUUCAACAGAAUAGACAUGUUAAUUGAGAAAAUGUACCAAGUGGAAAAUUUACACCAACAGGCACUGUUUUCUACUUCUCUUAUCUUUAUUUGGCUGCUCUGUGCUCUCCAUAUAUGAGAGUUCUACAUAAUUUUUAUUUCUAUAAUUUAAUUUAUAUUUCCUAGUGCAUACCACUCUUCUUUCAGCCAAGUUGUUGCAUUCUGUAACCCACAUCAUCCUGCAUUUCAUCCAGUAUCAACCAUCUUGGACCCCUAUGAUCCAAGGUCUUGUUGAUGACACUGUCGUUGGGACUGCCUGGUUAGGGUUGAUCUGUCACAUGGUCUUUUUAGUUGCAGUUCCCUGUUUGUGGACUGCCCUCUCUAGUGAGAUGUGUCUGCCUUCCUCAGUACUGAUUUUCAGAAGAAAUGUAAAAUCAUUCUCAUGAUUUUCAGAAGAAAUGUAAAAUCAUUCUCAUUUUGGGAGGAAGGGUGGGGUAUAUAAAUCUUCUUCUUCUUCUUCUUCUUAACAACAAUAACAACAACGGUAAUUUAUGUUUACAACAACAGCAGUGAUUUAUGUUUCAAACAAUGACAACAGUGAUUUAUGUUUCAAAGCAAGAAUAAGUUUCAUUAUUGUGUUUCUCAAGCAUUGUACAAAAUCCUGGGCCAAAGUACAGAGCCAAAGGCUUUUCCUACCUUAGUGUUAAUGUUCCAAGUUGUGUCUCCUAGGUUAGAUCUACUCAUGCAGCGCAGUGAUUCUGUGGUGGUGCAGUCUUGAGCUGGUAGAAUGAACUGUACUGCUUCAGUCUGCAUGUAGGGAAAUUCCUCUUCCCAUAUGUAUAUACAAUUUGUGUGUUUAAUACACUGUAAAAGUUGUUUGAGUGUUAAAACAACAACCAC
This 3472-nucleotide long non-coding RNA is filed under the name Podarcis lilfordi (Lilford's wall lizard). Lineage: Eukaryota; Metazoa; Chordata; Lepidosauria; Squamata; Lacertidae. The record is from RNAcentral.